CCAAGUAAAACGUUAAAAUUAGUUACUCCCGUGAGCUUCUCAGAGUGAGAAAUCCCAUCCUGUGUCAGAAAACUCUCCACAUCAUUCUAUUUCUAUUCUAGCGCACCCAACGGAGCUGAUUUCAUCCAGCCAUCUAUUACCAAAGCUACUUCAACUAUAUAGAGGAAACAAAAGGAAAAUAAAGAAUCCACCUACCUGCAGAAUUAAUCCUAUCAUCCAUGAACACAACUUAACAGUGAGUUUGGUCUGUUGCUGAGAAAUGAUUAAGCUGAAGAUAAAGCAAUUGCUUUAAUAAUGGGUGACCAAAAUGACUAAUUACUUUUUUUUAAUUAAUGUGAAGGGAAAGAAGAUCAAAGAUAGUUACAAAUUGUUAACAAAUUACAGAUCGAACUCUACAGCAAGAGAGGGAAAAAGAGAGAAUUAGAAUUACUACUUCCACAUUCUGUAGUGUGCUUCUCUUCCUCAGGAUGAGGGCAUUUUUAAUUUACUCUGUUUCUUCUUCUUCUUCUUCAAAAGAUCAAGUUUCAACAAGUACUCUCUCUUUCUCCUUAGCUGCAAAUUUCCCAGAUCUGCCAAUCUGCCACAUUAUUUCAAUUUCUUUACCUUCUCUGCAGUAUCUAUCAAAACAAAGAAAGUAAAGUGAUGGCAACAGCAGCAGCAACACUGUAACUAAUAGAACCCAUCAGCUUCACAGACCCAGACAUGGAAGGAGGAGGUGGGCUAUAAUAGUAGAAAGGAAAGUAAGGCACAAUUGGGUUAGGCGGAGGAGGUGCAGGGUAGUUCUUAUAGUUUGGCGGAGGAUAGUAAUAAUAACUGCCGCCGCCUCCGCCGCCACCACCCUGUGGUGGUGGUGGAGAGGAGUAGGAGUAAGUGGAACGUGGUGGUGGUGGUGAUGGAGAGUAGUAGUACGAGCCAGAUGACCUCGGCGGAGAAGGUGGUGGUGGGCAGUUAGAGGUGGAUGCUGGCGGUGGUGGAGAUGGUGGAGGCGGAGACGAGGGUUUGCAACAUGAAGAGCACAUUGUGCAUGCGAUCUCGUACAAUGUUCUUGAUUGUGGAAUGGGCGAGGGAUUGGUGGAAGGUAGAAUCAUGAGAAGCACUGCCAGAAAGAAAAUGAUCAUCUUGAUUCUUUCCAUUCUGCGCACAAUCAACAUGAGACUACAGAUUUCAAGAAAUGCAGUUUAAUCAAGAAGAAGAAAAAAAGAAAAUUUUGGCGGAAUUCUUGAGAGACCUAUAAAUUAAUGAGCAGCUGAGAGAAAGAAGAAGAAGAAGAA
This 1271-nucleotide unclassified non-coding RNA is filed under the name Hevea brasiliensis (rubber tree). The record is from RNAcentral. Lineage: Eukaryota; Viridiplantae; Streptophyta; Magnoliopsida; Malpighiales; Euphorbiaceae.